Molecule: long non-coding RNA, 356 nt
Filed under: Capsicum annuum
Lineage: Eukaryota; Viridiplantae; Streptophyta; Magnoliopsida; Solanales; Solanaceae
Description: long non-coding RNA (CANN_LNC002568)
Source: RNAcentral
UUUGCUUUCUUUCCUUCUUUUACCAUCUGAAUGCUGUUGAAUAUGACACUUCCUUCUGUAAUGUAUCCUUCCGAAGUGUUGUUGGUACUGCAAAAGUAAAAGAUGUUUAUCCUUCUAAUAAGAUAAAACUUAUAGAUUGCACUUUAUUUCAAAUUUUACUUUGAAGAGAUGACUUUUUCCUUUAUAUUCAUAUAUUCUGGAAAUAGAAUCAUCAUGCUCUUUUGUCCCUUCUACCUGAUAUUGGUGUCGUGUUUCUUCCCUGUAUAGACUGCAGUUCCUUUCUAAUUUUAAGCUUUUGGUGAGUUUUUCGACACGUCAUUUCCCUUCAUGUAAGGACUCCUCUUGGACUCCUCUUA